RNAcentral lists this small nuclear RNA (127 nucleotides) under Neogale vison (American mink). RNAcentral describes it as "Neovison vison (American mink) U4 spliceosomal RNA (ENSNVIG00000012167.1)". It matches the Rfam family "U4 spliceosomal RNA". From Rfam's summary of the family: U4 small nuclear RNA (U4 snRNA) is a component of the major U2-dependent spliceosome. The structure of U4 snRNA from yeast and human has been reported. Lineage: Eukaryota; Metazoa; Chordata; Mammalia; Carnivora; Mustelidae. The record is from Rfam by way of RNAcentral.
AGCUUUGCGCAGUGGCAGUAUCAUAGCCAAUGAGGUUUAUCUCAGGCUGAUUAUUGCUAAUUGAAAAAAUUAAAUCUGAUAAAGCUCAAAAUAGAGCAAGAGAUAAUUUUUAAAAUAAUUUUUAAUC